UGCAAUUUAGAGAAAAUUGCAACUUUUGGCCCAAAGGUUUGAAUAAUUAAAUUCAAACCUAUAGUUUUUUUUAAUAUAAUUUUGGGACUCACAAUCCCAUUUUUAUAUUAUUUUUCUCUCUUCCUCUCACGUUGCUCGGCGUUUUCUCGCAAGGGGGGAUUAUUUUCUUUUUCUUCAGAUUAUAUUGACAAAGAUAGUGGUGAAAAAGGAGUUGUGAAGGGGAACUUGUUAUUCAAGACACAAGGAGCGAGUCCGGCCGAGAAAGCACCAGAGGUGUAAUUAUGGUGUAUGAGACACCAUCUUUUACGUUGCCUCUUAUUUUGGAUUAUACAAUGUAUCUUGUGCCAACUUAGGACAUAUCUUCUUUGUG
Long non-coding RNA from Prosopis cineraria, 370 nucleotides. RefSeq lists it as uncharacterized. Lineage: Eukaryota; Viridiplantae; Streptophyta; Magnoliopsida; Fabales; Fabaceae. The record is from RefSeq and is a predicted model, not a curated record. The transcript has 3 exons.